UACGGGGGGGGCAAGCGUUGUUCGGAAUUACUGGGCGUAAAGGGCGCGUAGGCGGUCCGCUAAGUUGGAUGUGAAAACUCUGGGCUUAACCCAGAGCCUGCAUCCAAAACUGGCAGACUGGAGUUUUGGAGGGGGAAGCGGAAUUCCUGGUGUAGCAGUGAAAUGCGUAGAUAUCAGGAGGAACACCGGUGGCGAAGGCGGCUUCCUGGACAAAAACUGACGCUGAGGCGCGAAAGCUAGGGGAGCAAACAGG
This 253-nucleotide ribosomal RNA is filed under the name uncultured bacterium. Its description in RNAcentral is "partial 16S ribosomal RNA". It matches the Rfam family "Bacterial small subunit ribosomal RNA", at positions 524 to 776 of the family's 1533-position model. The record is from RNAcentral.